UCCUGUGAUGUUAAUCAUUAUUUGCUUCUUCUAAAACCAUAUACGGGCUAUGUUAAUACAAUAAUUUGAAUUAAAAUGACAAUUCAUUUUAAGCCCUUGUAUCUGGAAAAACUCAAAAUGACCCAUAUGGCUUGGAAAUUUUGUACAAACUAAAAUAAUAUACUCAAGUUGAUUGCUGUCAUGUCUCCAUAAAUUAUUUCCAAAACUUCAGUUGUUGACAAAAUUCCUGUAUGCAAUCUGAAAGAGAGGUAGGCAGACACAAUGUUUUACAAAGAAAUUCUAAGGAGACUAUGCAAUGUAUAUCAUAUGACAAAGUAGGAAUGGAAGGAUAUCUUUGUACCUCUUAUCUCGAUCCGCAAAGAACACAUGAAAGUUUCGUAUAAUCCUUUAAGGCAACGUAGGAGAUGAAUGAAACUGCAGCGAUACAAAUAGAUAGCAUAUUUCCCCUGGUACUCGGCAUAAUUUGAAAUGGAAACCUCAAUAAACAUGCCUG
RNAcentral lists this long non-coding RNA (493 nucleotides) under Panicum hallii. RNAcentral's name for it is "long non-coding RNA (PHAL_LNC000902)". Lineage: Eukaryota; Viridiplantae; Streptophyta; Magnoliopsida; Poales; Poaceae. The record is from RNAcentral.